Molecule: ribosomal RNA, 253 nt
Filed under: uncultured bacterium
Lineage: Bacteria
Description: partial 16S ribosomal RNA
Rfam family: Bacterial small subunit ribosomal RNA
Source: RNAcentral
CACGUAGGAGACUAGCGUUAUCCGGAUUUACUGGGCGUAAAGCGCGUGCAGGUGGCUCGGAAAGUUCGAUGUGAAAGCUCCCGGCUUAACUGGGAGAGGUCGUUGAAUACUUUCGGGCUAGAGAAUGGGAGAGGGAGGCGGAAUUCCGGGUGUAGUGGUGAAAUGCGUAGAUAUCCGGAGGAACACCAGUGGCGAAAGCGGCCUCCUGGCCCAUUACUGACACUCAGACGCGAAAGCUAGGGUAGCAAACGGG